This is a non-coding RNA of Pipistrellus kuhlii (Kuhl's pipistrelle), 128 nucleotides long. NCBI's taxonomy places the organism in Eukaryota, Metazoa, Chordata, Mammalia, Chiroptera, Vespertilionidae. The record is from RefSeq and is a predicted model, not a curated record.
GGCCUCUUUCCAUGGGGCUGCAGGGGUUUCCUUUCCCCUCAGACAGGGCUGGAGGCCAAGAGCAACCCUUGAGGAUCAUUGUUGGGCUGUCAGAGCUGGGCAGCCUUGUUUUCCUACUUUGAACAUUU